Long non-coding RNA from Felis catus (domestic cat), 3537 nucleotides. RefSeq lists it as uncharacterized. The record is from RefSeq and is a predicted model, not a curated record. The transcript is spliced from 2 exons. NCBI's taxonomy places the organism in Eukaryota, Metazoa, Chordata, Mammalia, Carnivora, Felidae.
CAUCAGCCCAGAGCCUGACGCGGGGCUCGAACUCACAGACCACGAGAUCGUGACCUGGCUGAAGUCGGACGCUUAACCGACUGCGCCACCCAGGCGCCCCGAAAAAUUAUUUUCUUAAUGGAAGGAAUGACUCCUCACUUUUUGGCCCAUAUAUUCUGAGGGUUUCUUAAGGUGGUAUCAUGCAUGGAACGGACUACCCUUAACUACGUAAUUUUGUUUCUUUGAAGAUAAAAAGUUCUAAAGGAUACCGUACACAUAAAGUGUUAUUUCAGAGAGAACCCUGAAGAAGGGACUGUGAAUGGCAUGUGAAUAAGGUGGUUACUAAAUUUUUUUAAAUAAAAAGAGUGGUCGUGUACAGCUGGGAAAGAUAAGCACAAAUUCUAACUGUUGAUUACUUUUCAGGAUUCAUGGUACAGCUCUACACCCAGGUUCUCUGACAUGGGGCCUAGGAGUUUAUACCUCUGGCUGGCCUCACAAGCAAGUGAGAAAAAGCAGAGGAGGCUGGACUUCCUGUCUGGUGGUAUCAGACCUGUGGCUCAGCUUUUCAGAACACACUCUAAGAAUAUUCCUGAGACAAUGACAUUUCUGUUGCUUCUUCCGUAUGGAAGCUUGGGCACACACAUCUGCCUCUGACUCAGCCACAGAGACAGAUCCCAAGAUCUUCACAAAUUUUACCCUGCCAUGUGCCACUAGAGUAUGUUGCCUUUAUAAAAUGCAGUAAAAUUAGAAACUAAGUGACCCUUUCAUAAGAUUUCACUAAUGAGAUUUCAUACUUGAUAAGGCUGAAAACAAGCCAUGUCAAGAUGAACACAUUGACCAGUGAACUAAGUUCACUCCAUGGCUAAGAGUUUUUCCUAGCACACCAGCCUCACAGCAUGAUUCAUAUUCACGUCUCAGCAAUUCUAAAUGACACCAUGUCAUGGACCUUCAGAAUCAUUCUUGAAUCGUCAAUCCCGGAAUGUUAGACCUGCAACUGCCAAGCACCAACAGGAUUGUCAAUUCAGUUCAAUAAAAAAAUUGAGUUCCUAUAUACUAGACAUUAUGGGUAAAAAGAUACUGACUUACACAGGUCUUUACAAUACCAUGUAAUAUAAGCUAUUAUAAUAUUAUAUUAUAUUAUAUUAUAUUAUAUUAUAUUAUAUUAUAUUAUAUUAUAUUAUUAUAAUAAUAUUAGUGACCUGUGAUUUUUUUUUUUUAAGACAUAGAUCAGUAAAAUAGAAAACCACCACCCUCAUAAUUAGCUCACUUUGGUGUUCCCAUUAGGUCUUUGUUAUUUCCAUUAAGUCCAAGAACACGAUCUAUCAGUCUUCUGCCAUCCUAAAAUUCAAACUACUUCACUCUCCUUAUCUUCUAAUCCUCUCAUGUCUAAUUCUAUUGAAUGUGACGUGGUGAAGCUGCUCCUCCUACCAAGAGGUAAAGUCUAUUCCCCUCUCUUGAAUAUGGACUGACUUUCAACUUGCAUUGACAAACAGAAUGCAGCAGAAGUGAUGCUGUGCUAAUUCUGAACAUGACGAGUGACGCUGAGUGAAUUACAGGUCUCAGUAAAUCCAUCAGCUUCCACUUUUUGCUCUCUCGGAACAGUGCCCUGACCAUGUAAGUAAGCUGGUCUAGGCGGCUGGAGGAUAAGAAUCCACAUGGACUAUAACUGAGGCACCUUAGCUGACAGUUGCCACCAACUGCUGGACAUGAGUGAGGCUACCUGGGCUCUUCUAGCACUGCCAACUGCCCAGCUAUAAGAUCUCAGAGGAAUUUCCAUCUAAUCCACAGAAUCAUGAAAAUAAAUUAUGAUUUUAAGCAAUAGUUAACUGAUACAGAAAUUCUUUAUCAGGAGUAGGUUCUGUGUCAACAAAAGCCCAAAACACGUGGCUUUGGCUUUGACAUUUUAGACCAUAUACCUCUUUUUGCAUGGGGCUGUCGUAUGCAUUGUGGGAUGUUCAGCAGCAUCCUUGGUCUUUACCCACUAGAUGCCAGCACAUCCAUCUCCCCCACCAUUGUAACAUUUAACAAUGUGUCCAGACAUUGCUGAGUGUUGCCUGGGGAGUUUUCCUGCUGAAAACUGCUGUUGUAGAGAACUACUGAUACUUGUUUACAAGUAGACAUACACAACGUUGUUUAUAGUAGCAAAGAACUGGGGGAAACCUGAGUGUCCAUUCAUAAGAAGGUAGCUAAAUAAGCAAGCUUCAUAAUUUGGAAUUACAUUCAGUAUUUUGAAAUAAUGAGAGAAAUCUCUUUACUACUUAACACUGGUAGAUCUCCAAGAUACCACUAAACGACCACCACCAAAAAAAGUAAACUGCAAAAAGGCAUCAUACCUUUUACAUUAACAUGAACAUACAUAAAACAAUAGUUUAUAUAGGGUCUUAUCGGUAUGUAUAAUAAAUCACAUAAAGAGUUUGGAAAGACAUACACACAUGCAUGUGCAGAGGACUAUCCUUGUGGGAAGAGCAAGCAAGGAGGGAGAGGGGACAGGCAUGGAUGGUGGCAGUCAAAAGGCACUUUUAGUCUCAUCGGCAGUGUUUCAAUGUUUUACAAAAAGAACAAACACAUUCAUGCAUUGUGCAAUUAAAUGUGAAUUCAUCAGGCACAGGACUAACAAAAUGGCUUUGAAAAAUGUUACUAUUUAUUGACCUCUGAAGGGGAGAAGUCAUAAUAAAUAUAUAUUGAAGAAGAGGUAUCAAUGGGAAGAUAGAGCUGGCUGAUUGCCCAGAGUCUUACAGGACAGCACGAACUUGGUGAAAUUACCACAGUUAAAGACUGUGUCAAAGUCCAAGUUACAAAUCUGGCAAUUCUAGAUACUAACGUUUCUCAAUACUCCUAAAGGGAACCAAAUUCUCUAUGACAGGAUGACACUAAUUACAAUCACAAGACUCAUGUAUAAGCCAGAAUGUCAAUGAACUAAUUUACAGUGGAGGCUAGCCCUUUCCAGUGACCAGAAUAUUUGUGCCAGGUACUAUGCUAAGAACUUAAAACACAUUAUUUAUAUUCCUCAUAAUGGUCCCAAGAGAUAGAUGCUAUUAUUCUCCAUUUAAAAGAUGAGGAAGCAGGCCUAAAUUAAGCAUCUCUUCUAAGGGCAUAGUACAACUCCAAACCUGUGCCCUUAGCCACUAUAUUAAUAAAUGUUUUGGACCUUUGUUUGGAGCAGUUUUUCAUUUGUAAUUUAGCACUUAUUUCAUAUGGUUAUUGUAUUGAAAGCAAACACAUGUAAAGGACUUAGUUCCCUUCUCCUUUGACAAAUAACCUUACCUAUAUUCUUCAUCAUUUAGAAGGAUACCAAAAACUCCUGAAUGUAGUAAUGAAAUGAAUUAAAAAUACUACGAAUUAGUCAAACAAUGUAUUAGGCCAAUUUUAAAGCCCUUAGGUGUAAAAUAUAAAAUACCAGAUAUAUAUUAUUUCUUCUGCAUUAUUUUUUAAUGUGAAUAGAGUAUUUGCUAAUUCAUUCAUUCACUCAUUCCAAAAAUACUAUUUAUUUGUAACAGGUGACACAAUGUUAAGACCUGGUUAUAUGUUAUAAUGAAUAAAACAAUUUUAGUUUCUGUA